CUGCUUUGGCAGCACAUAUACUAAAAUUAGAAUGAUUCAGAGAAAAUUACCGUGGGCUAUGUGGAAAGAUGACAUGCAAAUUUGUGAAGCAUUUCAUAUUUUU
This 103-nucleotide small nuclear RNA is filed under the name Catagonus wagneri (Chacoan peccary). Lineage: Eukaryota; Metazoa; Chordata; Mammalia; Artiodactyla; Tayassuidae. The record is from RNAcentral.